AUUCUAAAAUUUCUAAACACCGGGCUAACCGAACGAGAGAGAGGUUAGAGUAUCGGAGGUUGGACUGAUUGAACUGUGUUCUCGCGACAAAAGACGAACGAUGGCGACGGAAAAAAUCGGGAAGAUCCUCAAAGACGUCUACUACGAUCCGUUCAAGUGGUCGGUGGUAAAGAACAUUGCUUUCUUCGUCGUCGGCGUCAAGAUCGCCGUCGAGUGCAACGGGAUGACCCUCAUGCCGCCAGUCUCUGUUUAAGUCUAUCCACGUUCGUCAUAGGAUUCCAGAGGAGAAACUGUCCGGAUUAAUGUUCCAGCGGUUUCUCGCGUCUCGUACACGAUUACAAUCAUCGCAGGAGUAUAUAUAUAUAUACAUUCAAUUUUAUCUGUACUGUAAAAACUGUAUAUUGCAUAUCUGAAACGCUCUUGUUAAACCAUAUAUUGUUAAUAAAUGAUAUACACCAGUA
Wasmannia auropunctata (little fire ant) is the source of this 461-nucleotide long non-coding RNA. RefSeq lists it as uncharacterized. Lineage: Eukaryota; Metazoa; Arthropoda; Insecta; Hymenoptera; Formicidae. The record is from RefSeq and is a predicted model, not a curated record. The transcript has 2 exons.